UGCGUCUGUGGUAACACAUUAUAAUACACUGGUGGUUUAAAAACAAGAAGACAGGUGCCAAAAUAAAUCCUUGUUUGCAACCCAGAACUCAUUGUUGAGUAUGAGAUUUUGGUACAUGUAAGAAGGAAUAUU
Small nucleolar RNA from Perognathus longimembris pacificus (Pacific pocket mouse), 132 nucleotides. RefSeq annotates it as small nucleolar RNA SNORA40. The transcript has a single exon. The record is from RefSeq and is a predicted model, not a curated record. Lineage: Eukaryota; Metazoa; Chordata; Mammalia; Rodentia; Heteromyidae.